CCCUUAACGCGGUGUGUGAACUCCAUGUUCCAGAACACCAUUCGGAUACGCUCCUGCUGGGCAUUUCGCACUGUGAUGGGUGUUGUAGUCUCUGCUCUGUUCCCAAGGACGGAAAAUUUAGAUAGCAUGGAAUAGGCCCUUUGAGUCGUGCUGCCCAGCGAUCCCCAGUUUAACCCUAACCUAAUCACAGGACAAUUUACAAUGACCAAUUAACCUACUAACCGGUAUGCCUUUGGACUGUGGGAGGAAACCGGAGCACCUGGAGGAAACCAACACAUUCCAUGGGGAGAACAUACAAAACUCUAAAGAGGAUGCAUCUGGAGUACCACCUCUUCCAGUGUGACACAAGAAUGUCCAUGGACUAGUUAACAUCUACUACCCUCUGGAUCUUGGACCAAACAUGCCUUCAAGC
Long non-coding RNA from Hypanus sabinus (Atlantic stingray), 412 nucleotides. RefSeq lists it as uncharacterized. NCBI's taxonomy places the organism in Eukaryota, Metazoa, Chordata, Chondrichthyes, Myliobatiformes, Dasyatidae. The record is from RefSeq and is a predicted model, not a curated record. The transcript is spliced from 3 exons.